Molecule: ribosomal RNA, 492 nt
Filed under: uncultured bacterium
Lineage: Bacteria
Description: partial 16S ribosomal RNA
Rfam family: Bacterial small subunit ribosomal RNA
Source: RNAcentral
AGUGAACGCUGGCGGUAGGCCUAACGCAUGCAAGUCGAACGGCAGCACAGUAAGAGCUUGCUCUUACGGGUGGCGAGUGGCGGACGGGUGAGGAAUACAUCGGAAUCUACUUUUUCGUGGGGGAUAACGUAGGGAAACUUACGCUAAUACCGCAUACGACCUACGGGUGAACGCAGGGGAUCUUCGUACCUUGCGCGAUUGAAUUAGCCGAUGUCGGAUUAGCUAGUUGGCGGGGUAAAGGCCCACCAAGGCGACGAUCCGUAGCUGGUCUGAGAGGAUGAUCAGCCGCACUGGAACUGAGACACGGUCCAGACUCCUACGGGAGGCAGCAGUGGGGAAUAUUGGACAAUGGGCGCAAGCCUGAUCCAGCCAUACCGCGUGGGUGAAGAAGGCCUUCGGGUUGUAAAGCCCUUUUGUUGGGAAAGAAAAGCAGCAGGUUAAUACCCCGCUGUUCUGACGGUACCCAAAGAAUAAGCACCGGCUAACUUCGUG